Molecule: ribosomal RNA, 402 nt
Filed under: uncultured bacterium
Lineage: Bacteria
Description: bacterial SSU rRNA
Rfam family: Bacterial small subunit ribosomal RNA
Source: RNAcentral
GAUGAACGCUAGCGGCAGGCUUAAUACAUGCAAGUCGUGGGGCAGCAUGAGUAGCAAUACUUGAUGGCGACCGGCAAACGGGUGAGGAACACGUACACAACCUUCCUUCAAGCGGGGAAUAGCCCAGAGAAAUUUGGAUUAAUACCCCCAUAAAUAUAUUUGAUAAGGCAUCUUAUUAAUAUUAAAGCUUCGGCACUUGAUGAUGGGUGUGCGGCUGAUUAGAUAGUUGGCGGGUAACGGCCCACCAAGUCUACGAUCAGUAGCUGAUGUGAGAGCAUGAUCAGCCACACGGGCACUGAGACACGGGCCCGACUCCUACGGGAGGCAGCAGUAAGGAAUAUUGGACAAUGGACGAAAGUCUGAUCCAGCCAUGCCGCGUGAAGGAUUAAGGUCCUCUGGAUU